Molecule: ribosomal RNA, 568 nt
Filed under: Naganishia uzbekistanensis
Lineage: Eukaryota; Fungi; Basidiomycota; Tremellomycetes; Filobasidiales; Filobasidiaceae
Description: eukaryotic LSU rRNA
Rfam family: Eukaryotic large subunit ribosomal RNA
Source: RNAcentral
AAAUUUGAAAUCUGGUAGCCUUCGGCUGCCCGAGUUGUAAUCUAGAGAAGUGUUUUCCGUGCCGGCCCAUGUACAAGUCCCUUGGAACAGGGCGUCAUAGAGGGUGAGAAUCCCGUCCUUGACAUGGACCCCCGGUGCUUUGUGAUACACUUUCAACGAGUCGAGUUGUUUGGGAAUGCAGCUCAAAAUGGGUGGUGAAUUCCAUCUAAAGCUAAAUAUUGGCGAGAGACCGAUAGCGAACAAGUACCGUGAGGGAAAGAUGAAAAGCACUUUGGAAAGAGAGUUAAACAGUACGUGAAAUUGUUGAAAGGGAAACGAUUGAAGUCAGUCAUGCUCUUUGGAUUCAGCCGUUCUGCGGUGUAUUUCCAUUGAGUGGGGUCAACAUCAGUUUUGAUCGCUGGAUAAAGGCACUAGGAAGGUAGCACUCUCGGGUGAACUUAUAGCCUAGCGUCAUAUACAGUGAUUGGGACUGAGGAACGCAGCAUGCCUUUAUGGCCGGGAUUCGUCCACGUACAUGCUUAGGAUGUUGACAUAAUGGCUUUAAACGACCCGUCUUGAACCACGGACC